AUACAAAACCAAUGCCCUUCGGGGCUCCUUGGUGAUUCAUGAUAACUUUUCAGAUCGCAUGGCUUUACGCCGGCGACGGUUCAUUCAAAUUUCUGCCCUAUCAACUUUCGAUGGUAAGGUAUUGGCUUACCAUGGUUUCAACGGGUAACGGGGAAUUAGGGUUCGAUUCCGGAGAGGGAGCCUGAGAAACGGCUACCACAUCCAAGGAAGGCAGCAGGCGCGCAAAUUACCCAAUUCCGAUACGGAGAGGUAGUGACAAUAAAUACUGAUACAGGGCUCUUUUGGGUCUUGUAAUUGGAAUGAGUACAAUUUAAACCUCUUAACGAGGAACAAUUGGAGGGCAAGUCUGGUGCCAGCAGCCGCGGUAAUUCCAGCUCCAAUAGCGUAUAUUAAAGUUGUUGCAGUUAAAAAGCUCGUAGUUGAACCUUUGGCCUGGCUGGCAGGUCCGCCUCACCGCGUGCACUUGUCCGGCCGGGCCUUUUCUUCUGGAGAACCGCAUGCCCUUCACUGGGUGUGU
Molecule: ribosomal RNA, 517 nt
Filed under: fungal sp. 2b-Bj10
Lineage: Eukaryota; Fungi
Description: SSU rRNA
Rfam family: Eukaryotic small subunit ribosomal RNA
Source: RNAcentral